Long non-coding RNA from Colossoma macropomum (tambaqui), 772 nucleotides. RefSeq lists it as uncharacterized. The record is from RefSeq and is a predicted model, not a curated record. NCBI's taxonomy places the organism in Eukaryota, Metazoa, Chordata, Actinopteri, Characiformes, Serrasalmidae. The transcript has 2 exons.
CUAAAGGAGAAAAACAGAACGAGGGACAUGAACUGCAACUCUCGAAGCAGCCCUUCAAGCGGACACUGACCUAUGUGAAUGUGGCCUUCUCCCUGGCCUUCUUUUCCAGACAGAAAAAAAGGUCCCGGCCUCUCUGUUUCCCUGGCGAUUAUUAAUCCUCCUCAGACAAGGGGGCUUUUUGUCCUGAGCCCUACAGAUGACUCCUGGUGGAAUUAAAGUGGGGCAGAUGGGUCAUCGCCUCCUUCCUGACACCGAACUACAAUUCCCAUGAGCCUCUCCAUCGCCUGAGGCCAAAAGCAGAAACCUCACACGUGCCUAUUGAUUGGAGUGGUCACUGCACUUACAGUCUAAAUGAUUAUAGCGCUGGGAAAGCCUGGUGAGAUUUCAGAUUAUAUCGAUCCACCCCUGAAGCUGAGAGAAAGCUUCCUCCUCAAAGGCCCAUGGGAAACAUAAGCUGUAGGAUGUUGCUUUGCUUAAUGCCUUCUGGCCCACUGUAGCACAUCUUGAUCUGCCUUCUGACUUUUUUAAGCCUGACUGAAUGACUUUAUGGCUGAUUUAAGUAGUAAAUAAGCUCCUGCACUGCUUAGAAUUCACAUGAUUCAAGUUAGGGAUGCAUAAUGAUAUCAACAGAAUCGAAAAUUGCUUGAUUCCAUGAACCCGACGAAAACCGCUCAUGUAAAUCUCCUGCGGGAGGAGUAAGUUUUACGAAUUUCAGCAUAUUUUUCUGUUAUACUGUGUUUCCUAUUACUGUAUAAAAGAUGCAUAAGGCUUU